This 442-nucleotide ribosomal RNA is filed under the name uncultured bacterium. RNAcentral's name for it is "partial 16S ribosomal RNA". It matches the Rfam family "Bacterial small subunit ribosomal RNA", at positions 338 to 795 of the family's 1533-position model. The record is from RNAcentral.
CCUACGGGAGGCAGCAGUGGGGAAUAUUGGGCAAUGGUCGCAAGCCUGACCCAGCAACGCCGCGUGCAGGAAGACGGCUUUCGGGUUGAAAACUUCUUUUUAGGGGGAAGAGCAGAAGACGGUACCCCUUGAAUAAGCCAUGGCUAACUACGUGCCAGCAGCCGCGGUAAUACGUAGGUGGCGAGCGUUGUCCGGAUUUACUGGGUGUAAAGGGCGUGCAGCCGGAGAGACAAGUCAGCUGUGAAAUCCACGGGCUCAACCCGUGAACUGCAUUUGAAACUGUUUCCCUUGAGUGUCGGGGAGGUAAGCGGAAUUCCUUGUGUAGCGGUGAAAUGCGUAGAUAUAAGGAAGAACACCAGUGGCGAAGGCGGAUUACUGGACGAUAACUGACGGUGAGGCGCGAAAGCGUGGGGAGCAAACAGGAUUAGAUACCCUUGUAGUC